GACAGAGGUCUCAAGCGUUGUUCGGAUUCAUUGGGCGUAAAGGGUGCGUAGGCGGCGCGGCAAGUCGGGUGUGAAAUCUCGGGGCUUAACUCCGAAACUGCAUUCGAUACUGCCGUGCUUGAGGACUGGAGAGGAGACUGGAAUUUACGGUGUAGCGGUGAAAUGCGUAGAGAUCGUAAGGAAGGCCAGUGGCGAAGGCGAGUCCCUGGACAAUUCCUGACACUGAGGCACGAAAGCUAGGGGAGCAAACAGG
RNAcentral lists this ribosomal RNA (253 nucleotides) under uncultured bacterium. RNAcentral's name for it is "partial 16S ribosomal RNA". It matches the Rfam family "Bacterial small subunit ribosomal RNA", at positions 524 to 776 of the family's 1533-position model. The record is from RNAcentral.